This 70-nucleotide transfer RNA is filed under the name Ictidomys tridecemlineatus (thirteen-lined ground squirrel). RNAcentral describes it as "Spermophilus tridecemlineatus (thirteen-lined ground squirrel) tRNA". It matches the Rfam family "tRNA". From Rfam's summary of the family: Transfer RNA (tRNA) molecules are approximately 80 nucleotides in length. Their secondary structure includes four short double-helical elements and three loops (D, anti-codon, and T loops). Further hydrogen bonds mediate the characteristic L-shaped molecular structure. tRNAs have two regions of fundamental functional importance: the anti-codon, which is responsible for specific mRNA codon recognition, and the 3' end, to which the tRNAs corresponding amino acid is attached (by aminoacyl-tRNA synthetases). tRNAs cope with the degeneracy of the genetic code in two manners: having more than one tRNA (with a specific anti-codon) for a particular amino acid; and 'wobble' base-pairing, i.e. permitting non-standard base-pairing at the 3rd anti-codon position. The record is from Rfam by way of RNAcentral. Lineage: Eukaryota; Metazoa; Chordata; Mammalia; Rodentia; Sciuridae.
GGAGUUAUAGCUCAGUGGUAGAGCACUUGCCUAAGCAUGUGUGAGGCCCUGGGUUCAAUCCCCAGCACCA